RNAcentral lists this ribosomal RNA (293 nucleotides) under uncultured eukaryote. Its description in RNAcentral is "partial 18S ribosomal RNA". It matches the Rfam family "Eukaryotic small subunit ribosomal RNA", at positions 6 to 271 of the family's 1831-position model. The record is from RNAcentral.
GGUUGAUCCUGCCAGUAGUCAUAUGCUUGUGUUAAAGAUUAAGCCAUGCAUGCCUAAGUACAGACUAGUAAAAGGUUAAACUGCGGACGGCUCCAUAGAUCAGUAAUCGUUCGUUUGGCGAAUAAAGUACUUGGAUAACCCUGUUAAUUGUAGAGCUAAUACAUGCACCGACGACCCGAUUGGGAGACCGAGAGGGUCGCACUUGUCUAACUUUUCGAGCCCGGUGCUCGAGGGGGUAGCGGCGGCCGGGGAGGUCGCGGGGUGGGCGUCUGCAGAGACAACUGGGGGUGCAA